CGGAGUGUGGCGCAGCUUGGUUAGCGCACUACCUUGGGGUGGUAGAGGUCGCGGGUUCAAAUCCCGCCACUCCGACCA
This 78-nucleotide transfer RNA is filed under the name Campylobacterota bacterium. RNAcentral's name for it is "Epsilonproteobacteria bacterium (hydrothermal vent metagenome) tRNA-Pro". It matches the Rfam family "tRNA". From Rfam's summary of the family: Transfer RNA (tRNA) molecules are approximately 80 nucleotides in length. Their secondary structure includes four short double-helical elements and three loops (D, anti-codon, and T loops). The record is from RNAcentral. Lineage: Bacteria; Pseudomonadati; Campylobacterota.